UACAGAGGUCUCAAGCGUUGUUCGGAUUCACUGGGCGUAAAGGGUGCGCAGGCGGUUGUGUGUGUCAGGUGUGAAAGCCCGGGGCUUAACCCCGGAAUUGCGCCUGAAACUACAUGACUAGAGCAUUGGAGAGGGUAGCGGAAUUCACGGUGUAGCAGUGAAAUGCGUAGAUAUCGUGAGGAACACCAGAGGCGAAGGCGGCUACCUGGACAAUUGCUGACGCUCAGGCACGAAAGCGUGGGGAGCAAAAGGG
RNAcentral lists this ribosomal RNA (253 nucleotides) under uncultured bacterium. Its description in RNAcentral is "partial 16S ribosomal RNA". It matches the Rfam family "Bacterial small subunit ribosomal RNA", at positions 524 to 776 of the family's 1533-position model. The record is from RNAcentral.